CCCUUAGAUGUCCUGGGCCGCACGCGCGCUACACUGAGUGUCUGAGAUACGAGUCUGCCUGGUCCGGCAAGGUCUAGGUAAUCGCUAAAAGACACAUCAUGCUUGGGAUAGAUUAUUGCAAAUAUUAAUCUUGAACGAGGAAUUCCUAGUAAACGCAAGUCAUCAGCUUGCAUUGAUUACGUCCCUGCCCUUUGUACACACCGCCCGUCGACUCUACCGAUUGAAUGGUUCGGUGAAAACUUUGGACUGUGGCAUUGUCCUUCAUUGGACUUCGCCGUAGGAAAUUGUUUAAACCUCAUCAUUUAGAGGAAGAAUAAGUCGUAACA
Molecule: ribosomal RNA, 326 nt
Filed under: uncultured eukaryote
Lineage: Eukaryota
Description: partial 18S ribosomal RNA
Rfam family: Eukaryotic small subunit ribosomal RNA
Source: RNAcentral